Myodes glareolus (Bank vole) is the source of this 928-nucleotide non-coding RNA. The record is from RefSeq and is a predicted model, not a curated record. NCBI's taxonomy places the organism in Eukaryota, Metazoa, Chordata, Mammalia, Rodentia, Cricetidae.
CCCUGCUGAGACUCAGGGUCCAGUCCAAACUCCUCAGCUCCCGGGGCCCCUCUGGGCUGUCAGCGCCGCGCUUGGUGAGAGUUUUGAUGACCCUUUCCGGCCAGGGCCGGCGUGUGCCUAGGCCUAGACGGCUCCACCUUGGGAGGUGAGAAGAGGGAAACCUGGACCUAAGUAAACCUGACCUUUGCUCGCCGGGCACCCAGUCCCUGCUGCCAUCUGGCUGCUCAAAGCCCAAGAGGGUGGUGCCUGUUCGGCUCCGAUCUUCGGGUUGUGAAGACAUGGGUUUUCCACGUGGUUCCACUCGCGCCUCAGGAAGGCAGGAAUGAUGGGGGGGUUAUGGGGUACCCACACAGCGACGCCAGGAGUGAGGCAACCUGCCAUCCCAACGCUGAGCCCUCAUAACGCUGCUGGGGUGGGCACUAACGACACCCACGCGCAAAGCGCACGGGACCCACGAUGCUCGCCCCUAACCCAGCGCCUUCGCAGCCUCCCCAAAGCGCUGCCUGCCAAGAAGACUGUCAGGCGGAGUUAGCCAAAGGGAAGCCAUUAUCGAGCGCUGGGGGUUGAAUUUCAGUCCGCUGGACCACAGUGCUUACUCUCAGCGAAACGCAGCAGCCCAAGAGUUGUUUUGGCUGCGUCGAGCCGCGUGGAUGGGGUGGGUCAUCCAGAAGAAGGAAUUCUGAGUGGUGGCUCUAGAAAUGUUAAGAUUGGCAGCCUCCAGACCGUACUGUUUUUUAUGUUGGUCACGCUUCUCUUAAGAGCGACUGGAAGGCAACAAGUUGGAUUUUUGUGUAGUCACACAAACGCUUAACCACUGUAACCCUGGGCAAGAAAGGAACGGGAAUUGUAUGCCUUCCUUGGGUUUGAGGGUUUUUCUCUCCACUAUUUUAUUCAUAAUUCGAAAAGCAAAUAAAACAUUUGAAAAGAA